RNAcentral lists this ribosomal RNA (2306 nucleotides) under Fidelibacterota bacterium. RNAcentral's name for it is "partial 23S ribosomal RNA". It matches the Rfam family "Bacterial large subunit ribosomal RNA", at positions 521 to 2925 of the family's 2925-position model. The record is from RNAcentral. Lineage: Bacteria; Pseudomonadati; Fidelibacterota.
GCACCCCGAUAGGGGGAAUGAAAUAGUAUCUGAAACCGAAUGCCUACAAGCAGUUAGAGCUCCUUUAUGGAGUGAUAGCAUACCUUUUGUAUAAUGGGUCAGCGACUUAGUCUGUGCAGCAAGCUUAAGCCAUUAGGUGUAGGCGUAGGGAAACCAAGUCUUAAUAGGGCGUUUAGUUGUAUGGAUUAGACUCGAAGCGGGAUGAGCUUAAUAUGAGCAGGUUGAAGAUAUAGUAACAUAUAUCGGAGGACCGAACCAAUAGACGUUGCAAUGUCUUUGGAUGACUUGUGUUAAGGGGUGAAAGGCCAACCAAAUUCCGCUAUAGCUAGUUCUCCGCGAAAACUAUUUAGGUAGUGCGUUGUGUUAAUGUUGUUAGGGGUAGAGCACUAGAUGGGCUAGGGGGAAGCGAUUCCUACCAAACCUAACUAAACUCCGAAUACUAGCAAUUUCUGCACAGCAGACAGACUAUAGGUGCUAAGGUCUAUGGUCGAGAGGGAAACAGCCCAGAUCACCAGUUAAGGCCCCCAAAUAAUGGCUAAGUGGAAAAGUAUGUAGAAAGUCCAAGACAGGCAGGAGGUUGGCUUAGAAGCAGCCAUCCUUUAAAGAUAGCGUAACAGCUCACUGUUCUAAUUAAGACUUUCCGCGACGAAGAUGUACCGGGGCUCAAGCCAUUUGCCGAAACUGUGACUUUGUAAGUAUUGCGAUACUUGCAAGGGGUAGCGGAGCGUUCUGUAAGCCGUUGAAGGUAUCUCGAAAGGGGUGCUGGAGGUAUCAGAAGUGCGAAUGCUGACAUGAGUAGCGAUAAAGAGUGUGAGAGACACUCUCGCCGAAAUCCUAAGGUUUCCUGCGUAAAGCUAAUCUGCGCAGGGUUAGUCGACCCCUAAGGCGAGGCAGAAAUGCGUAGUCGAUGGGAAACAGGUUAAUAUUCCUGUACCUGCUGUGAGUUGACGGAUCACGUAAAUUGUAUUUUCUUAUUGGAUUGAAAAUGCAGUGAAGUGGUUCCUGGAAAUAGCCACAGCAUAUAGAUCGUACCUAAACCGACACAGGUAGGAAGGUAGAGUAUACCAAGGCGCUUGAGAGAAUGAUGUUGAAGGAACUCGGCAAAAUGCCCUUGUAACUUCGGAAUAAAAGGGACCAAUUUUUAGGCAACUAGAGAUUGGUGGCACAGAAUAGGGAGAAGCGACUGUUUAUCAAAAACACAGGUCUCUGCUAAGUCGUAAGACGAUGUAUAGGGACUGACGCCUGCCCGGUGCCGGAAGGUUAAAUGGUGGAGUGCAAGCUCUAAAAUGAAGCCCCGGUGAACGGCGGCCGUAACUAUAACGGUCCUAAGGUAGCGAAAUUCCUUGUCAGGUAAGUUCUGACCCGCAUGAAUGGCGUAACGAUUUCUCCGCUGUCUCCAACAUCAACUCAGCGAAAUUGAAUUCUCCGUGAAGAUGCGGAGUACGUGUAGUUAGACGGAAAGACCCCGUGCACCUUUACUACAGCUUUACAGUGGUAUUAGGAAAACAAUGUGUAGGCUAGGUGGUAGACUUUGAAGCAGAAGCGCUAGCUUUUGUGGAGUCAAAAGAUGAAACACCACCCUUUGUUUUCUUGAUAUCUAACCAACAUCCAUUAUCUGGAUGUGGGACCCUGUAUGGUGGGUAGUUUGACUGGGGCGGUCGCCUCCCAAAGAGUAACGGAGGCGCGCGAUGGUAGGCUCAGGCUGGUCGGAAAUCAGCUGUAGAGUGCAAUGGCAUAAGCCUGCCUGACUGUGAGACGUACAUGUCGAGCAGAGUCGAAAGACGGUCAUAGUGAUCCGGUGGUUCCAAGUGGAAGGGCCAUCGCUCAACGGAUAAAAGGUACGCCGGGGAUAACAGGCUGAUACCCCCCAAGAGUCCAUAUCGACGGGGGUGUUUGGCACCUCGAUGUCGGCUCAUCACAUCCUGGGGCUGGAGAAGGUCCCAAGGGUUUGGCUGUUCGCCAAUUAAAGUGGUACGUGAGCUGGGUUCAGACCGUCGUGAGACAGGUCGGUCCCUAUCUUCCGUGGGCGUACGAUAUUUGAGAAAAUCUGCCUCUAGUACGAGAGGAUCGAGGUGGACGAACCUAUGGUGAGUCAGUUGUUGUGCUAACAGCAUGGCUGAGUAGCUAAGUUCGGAAAGGAUAAACGCUGAAAGCAUAUAAGCGUGAAGCCUGCUUUAAGACUAGAUAUCGUUCUCUAAUUUAUUAGGGUGAAGACAUCUUAAAGACUAUGAGAUUGAUAGGCCAGGUGUGUAAGUCCGGUAACGGAUUCAGCUAACUGGUACUAAUUUGUCGAAAAGCUUGAUCAC